GCGGUAGCCAGACCAGCUGACAUUCCUCUUGCCUUGGCUCAGCUGUUCCCUUCCUGCUCUGUGUCCAAAUUCUUUCUUUCUCCUUUCUUUCUUUCUCUUUUCUUUCUUUCUUUCUUUCUUUCUUUCUUUCUUUCUUUCUUUCUUUCUUUCUUUCUUUCUUUCUUUCUUUCUUUCCUUUCUUUUCUUUCUUUCUUUCUUUCUUUCUUUCUUUCUUUCUUUCUUUCUUUCCUUCCUUCCUUCCUUCCUUCCUUCCUUCCUUCCUUCUUUCUUUCUUUCUUUCUUUCUUUCUUUCUUUCUUUCCUUCCUUCCUUCCUUCCUUCUUUUCUUUCUUUCUUUCUCUCUCUCUUUCUCCUUCCUUCCUUCCUUCUCCCUCCUCCUCCUCCUUCUUCUUCUUCUUCCUCUUCUUCUUUCCCUCCCUCCCUCCCUGCCUUCCUUUCUCUCUUUCUCUCUCUCUCCUUCUUCUCCCUCUCUCUCUCUCUCCUUCUCUCUCCCUCUCUCUCUCUCUCCUUCUUCUCCCUCUCUCUCUCUCUCCUUCUCUCUCCCUCUCUCUCUCCUUCUCUCUCCCUCUCCUUCUCUCUUUCUUUCUUUUUUUGACAGAGUUUCACUCUUCUUGCCCAGGCUGGAGUGCAAUGGCCUGGUCUUGGCUCACUGCAACCUCUGUGUCUUGGGUUCAAGCGAUUCUCCUGUCUCAGUCUCCUGAGUAGCUGGGAUUACAGGCAUGCGGCAACACGCCCAGCUAAUUUUUGUAUUUUUAGUAGAGAUAGGGUUUCACCAUGUUGGCCAGGCUGGUCUCGAGCUCCCGACCUCAGGUGAUCCGCCCACCUCUGCCUCCCAAAGUGCUGGGAUUACAGGCGUGAACCAUCGUGGCCUGGGCAAAUUCUACCUUUCCCUUGAGAAAAGCAAGAAAACCGAGGAAUGCAAGUCCUGUUAAAUGAUCAGACCCAGAGAGACAUUGAAGUGAGCCAGCCCUGGCAUCCUCCUUCACCCCCAGCUGCACAUUCAUCUAUUGAAGCUGCCUGCUGCUGCCACAGGUCAACACCGUCACCACUCAACUGAUAUCUUACUGCUUUUAUGAAGCCUUCCUUGAUUCCUCCGGCGGGGUGAUACCUCUCAGUAUCUUCCAUGUAGGCUGAGCAUGUUUCCCCAGCUGGAGGAGAGGGUUUCCAGGAAGAGCCUGUCCCAAGGAAGAAUUUUUCUGCUUUGGCCUGGCAUGACCUACCACAGGGAAUCUUUUGAGAGAAGUGAUAUGACGUCCAUUCUACAGAUGAGGAGAUUAAGGCUCAGGGCAGUUCCUCAACAUACCCAAGGUCACCUGGCUGGUAAGCAGUAG
RNAcentral lists this long non-coding RNA (1330 nucleotides) under Homo sapiens (human). RNAcentral's name for it is "HSALNT0135961". The record is from RNAcentral. Lineage: Eukaryota; Metazoa; Chordata; Mammalia; Primates; Hominidae.